Molecule: ribosomal RNA, 414 nt
Filed under: uncultured microorganism
Description: bacterial SSU rRNA
Rfam family: Archaeal small subunit ribosomal RNA
Source: RNAcentral
CAGCAGCCGCGGUAAUACCGGCGGCCCGAGUGGCGGUCACUAUUAUUGGGCUUAAAGCGUCCGUAGCCGGGCUGGUAAGUCCUCCGGGAAAUCUGGUCGCUUAACGAUCAGACUUCCGGGGGAUACUGCUGGCCUAGGGAACGGGAGAGGCCGAGGGUAUUCCCGGGGUAGGGGUGAAAUCCUGUAAUCCCGGGAGGACCACCUGUGGCGAAGGCGCUCGGCUGGAACGGGUCCGACGGUGAGGGACGAAGGCCAGGGGAGCGAACCGGAUUAGAUACCCGGGUAGUCCUGGCUGUAAACGAUGCGGACUAGGUGUCGGGCAAGCUAAGGGCUUGUCCGGUGCCGCAGGGAAGCCGUUAAGUCCGCCGCCUGGGGAGUACGGCCGCAAGGCUGAAACUUAAAGGAAUUGGCGGG